RNAcentral lists this long non-coding RNA (346 nucleotides) under Helianthus annuus (common sunflower). Its description in RNAcentral is "hypothetical non coding rna". The record is from RNAcentral. Lineage: Eukaryota; Viridiplantae; Streptophyta; Magnoliopsida; Asterales; Asteraceae.
CCUGAACCCUAAAAAAAUAUAUACACUUCGGCUUCUUCUUCGCCUCCCAUUCAAUCGACUCCUGCUCACCACCAUGGCCGGUGAUGACCAGAGUCGAACUAAAUCCAAUUCCGCUGCCGACAACCUAAAUCAAUCGAGUCCAAUCCCGGGAUUAAACCGUGAGAAGUACGAACAGUUCAUCAGCUCGUUCACUAAUGACGAGUGAAGGGGUAAGAUAAUCCAGUGGAUGGCAAACAUGGGGGCUAGAUUAGGCGAUGAUGGCAACUGGAUCGUUGAUUCAGGGUGUACCGAACACACAACCUACCUUCUUAAUUUGUUUCAUGGCAACUUAAAAACAACACACGAA